This is a long non-coding RNA of Pezoporus occidentalis (night parrot), 318 nucleotides long. RefSeq lists it as uncharacterized. NCBI's taxonomy places the organism in Eukaryota, Metazoa, Chordata, Aves, Psittaciformes, Psittacidae. The transcript is spliced from 3 exons. The record is from RefSeq and is a predicted model, not a curated record.
AGCUGUGAACAUGACUUACCUCUGCGGUACAGCCAUUCCUCAGUGAAGCUAAAAGGGAGCACCACAAUGGUCAGAGCUAUGAAAGUGCAGAUACUUCAUGGAUGAUCUACAGACUUUCUAAUACAGCUAUCAACAUACAGACCAGUUUUCUCAGAGCUGCUGAUGAACCAGAUGGCAGGAGCAGCGGAAACCAAAGGAGGAGCAGGAAGCCUUUAAGAAUGAGAUUGCUAAAACACAGGGAAAAUGGAAGUUAAAAACUCGGCCUGGACAAAACCGAGCGCCAGAAUGGAAAAGCAAGCCCUGGAGGAGCUUAGCCAA